GUAAGAACCAUACCAUUCAAUGUCAAUCACACUGUCAUGCAUGGCUUCUUACACU
Molecule: microRNA precursor, 55 nt
Filed under: Oreochromis niloticus (Nile tilapia)
Lineage: Eukaryota; Metazoa; Chordata; Actinopteri; Cichliformes; Cichlidae
Description: microRNA oni-mir-10698 precursor
Source: miRBase by way of RNAcentral